Gorilla gorilla gorilla (western lowland gorilla) is the source of this 1323-nucleotide long non-coding RNA. RefSeq lists it as uncharacterized. NCBI's taxonomy places the organism in Eukaryota, Metazoa, Chordata, Mammalia, Primates, Hominidae. The record is from RefSeq and is a predicted model, not a curated record. The transcript has 3 exons.
CAUUGUCUUGUGAAAUUCCUUCUCCUGGCUCAUCCUGGCUCAAAAGCUCCCCUGCUGAGCACCUUGUGACCCCCACUCCAGCCCGCCAGAGAACAACCCCCUUUGACAGUAAUUUUCCUUUAUCCACCCAAAUCCUAUAAAAUGGCGCCACCCCUAUCUCCUUUCACUGACUCUCUUUUCGGACUCAGCCCGCCUGCACCCAGGUGAAAUAAACAGCCAUGUUGCUCACACAAAGCCUGUUUGGUGGUCUCUUCACACAGACGUGCAUGAAAUUUGGUGCAGUGACUCGGAUCAGGGGACCUCCCUUGGGAGAUCAAUCCCCUGUCCUCCUGCUCUUUGCUCGGUGAGAAAGAUCCACCUACGACCUCAGGCCCCCAGACUGACCAGCCCAAGAAACAUCUCACCAAUUUCAAAUCCGACGCAUCUGACCUCUCCCCUCCUCCCCGGGCUGCUCCUCGCCAGGCUGAGCUAGGUCCCAAUUCUUCCUCAGCCUCUGCUACUCCACCCUAUAAUCUUUUUAUCGCCUCCCCUCCUCACACCUGGUCCGGCUUACAGUUUCGUUCCAUGACUAGCCCUCCCACACCUGCCCAGCAAUUUACUCUUAAAAAGGUGGCUGGAGCUAAAGGCAUAGUCAAGGUUAACACUCCUUUUUCUUUAUCCCAAAUCAGAUAGCGUUUAGGCUCUUUUUCAUCAAAUAUAAAAAUCCAGCCCAGUUCAUGACUCAUUUGGCAGCAACACUGAGACACUUUACAGCCCUAGACCCUAAAAGGUCAAAAGGCCGUCUUAUUCUCAAAAUACAUUUUAUUACCAAUCUGCUCCCUACAUUAAAUAAAACUACAAAAAUUAAAUUCCGGCCCUCAAACCCCACAACAGGAUUUAAUUAACCUCGCCUUCAAGGUGUACAAUAAUAGAAAAAAGUUGCAAUUCCUUGCCUCCACUGUGAGACAAACCCCAGCCACAUCUCCAGCACAUAAGAACUUCCAAAUGCCUGAACCGCAGGGGCCAGGCGUUCCUCCAGAACCUCCUCCCCCAGAAGCUUGCUACAAGUGCCAGAAAUCUGACCACCAGGCCAAGGAAUGCCUGCAGCCCAGGAUUCCCCCAUCUGUGCGGGACCCCACUGGAAAUCGGACUGUUCAACUCACCUGGCAGCCACUCUCAGAGCCCCUGGAACUCUGGCCCAAGCCUCUCUCACUGACUCCUUCUCAGCUUAGCGGCUGAAGACUGACGCUGCCCGAUCGCCUCGGAAGCCCCGUAGACCAUCACGAACGCCGAGCUUCAGGUACACAUCCAGAUGGCUGGUUCCUGCCUUAACUGAUGACAUUC